This 468-nucleotide ribosomal RNA is filed under the name uncultured bacterium. Its description in RNAcentral is "partial 16S ribosomal RNA". It matches the Rfam family "Bacterial small subunit ribosomal RNA", at positions 28 to 507 of the family's 1533-position model. The record is from RNAcentral.
GACGAACGCUGGCGGCGUGCUUAACACAUGCAAGUCGAACGGAAAGGCCCUGCUCUUGUGGGGUGCUCGAGUGGCGAACGGGUGAGUAACACGUGAGUAACCUGCCCCUGACUUUGGGAUAACUUCAGGAAACUGGGGCUAAUACCGGAUAGGAGCUCCUGCUGCAUGGUGGGGGUUGGAAAGUGUCGGCGGUUGGGGAUGGACUCGCGGCUUAUCAGCUUGUUGGUGGGGUAGUGGCUUACCAAGGCUUUGACGGGUAGCCGGCCUGAGAGGGUGGACGGCCACAUUGGGACUGAGGUACGGCCCAGACUCCUACGGGCCGCAGCAGGGGGGAAUAUUGCACAGUGGGCGGAAGCCUGAUGCAGCAACGCCGCGUGCGGAAUGACGGCCUUCGGGUUGUAAACCGCUUUCGCCUGUGACGAGGCGUGCGUGACGGUAAUGGGUAAAGAAGCACCGGCUAACUACGUG